This 143-nucleotide ribosomal RNA is filed under the name Petasites fragrans. Its description in RNAcentral is "5.8S ribosomal RNA". It matches the Rfam family "5.8S ribosomal RNA", at positions 1 to 136 of the family's 154-position model. From Rfam's summary of the family: 5.8S ribosomal RNA (5.8S rRNA) is a component of the large subunit of the eukaryotic ribosome. Lineage: Eukaryota; Viridiplantae; Streptophyta; Magnoliopsida; Asterales; Asteraceae. The record is from RNAcentral.
CAAAUGACUCUCGGCAACGGAUAUCUCGGCUCACGCAUCGAUGAAGAACGUAGCAAAAUGCGAUACUUGGUGUGAAUUGCAGAAUCCCGUGAACCAUCGAGUUUUUGAACGCAAGUUGCGCCCGAAGCCUUUUGGCUGAGGGC